GAGCAAGACUGUCUCUAAAAAAUAAUAAUAAUAAUAAAAAAAGGGGAGGCAAGAUGUGCUCCCCGUGGGUCAAGAGUACCCCAGACACAUCUUUCGGGAAGGGCGCCAGGUUUGUUGCUCUAUUUGGCCCUGGUCAGACUCAUCUGGAGUGUUGUAUUCAGCACUCAGCAUUGCAAUUUCUAGUGGUCAUAGAGUCACUCUGUACUUUCCCGUAAAGCACAUGGGAGCUCUUUGGCCAAGUUUCAGCUCCACUGAAGCCAGUGAUGAGACCAUGGACAAAACGCCUCAUCUCCCCAAGCCCAUUUCUUCAUUUGUAAAAGAAUCCAGUAGUCGUUCAGGAUGGUUAUGAAGACCCAGUCACAUUGGAUGUGAUGUGUAUAAAGGUGCUUUAUGUGGUGGUGUGUUUUAUUUGUUUCAUAUUUCAGAAGACGGGAAGGUAGGUCUCACAACCAUGGCUGGUUUGGGGGCAUGAACAUGAACCUUCACUCAGGAAAAGAGAAGUCUAGGGAAACAUGGUAGCUGCCUCCAGUAGAACCGCAGUUUAAAACAGAUCUUCAGAGGCUUCCAGGGCGAGGGGAAGCCAUGCAGGGCUCCUCCCCACCUCCCCACUUCUGCUCAUUGCUCUGCACUUGUCCAGAGACAAGAGAGGUGGACUAAAGUCUAUGCGAGGAAGUUACUUACACCCUCCUAGGUCCAAAAGCUGCCCCCUGCCUCUGGAGUGUUAGAGCAGAAAGUGGGCAGGCAUGGGCAGGGCCAUUGCUGCGGGAAGUUUAGAGGCACCAGAGGACAGUUCUUCCAACUUAGAUGGUUUUUGUGAAGUGAAAGCAAACUGCAGGCCCCCAACACUGGCGCAGACUCUCAUGGGUGCAGUCCUCUAACACUGGCACGGACUUAGCAGAUGAGAAAGAUGGGUCUCCUUACAAAUACUGGUCGCUAGUGAGUUGGGUCUUGAGAGACAGAGAAAACAGGUAUCUGCCUGAGGUGUGUCUGGUUAACUAUGUUGGCCCUUGAGGUAAUCUACAGUGUAAGGAGUUUUAGUUCAUCUAACAUUGUAAGAAAUCAUUCUCAUGUUUGAGUGUCAUGUUUGUAGUACCAAUUUUGGGGGCCAGGGAGGGAAGAUUGCCCUGAGCAAAGCUGCCCAUUUUCUCAUCUGGUCGGUUUUCAUGGAGCGGCCCACCUGCUCCCCACCUCGGGAGAUACUGGAGGAGUCUAGCCCUGCGGUGGGCUGUGGUCAGGCCAAGGGUAGGCCAGGUUUCCUUCCUAGGCUUCAGUUCAUUCUCCCAUCUUGCUGCCAAGGUAGCUUUAGAUGUUUUGGUCCCCUAAAGCAUUUAAACAGACUGACGUGUACAAUGCCGUCUGAACAAAGUCUGCCAUGAACGUACUGCACAGUGUGUACCUGAACCUUCCGAGAGAAAUAGUAAAAUCACCACAUCAUCAAGUUGCAGCUCGGGAAUUACGUAACUUUACUGGUGACGUUUGCAGGAAAAGGUUUCAGAGAAAUUUGAAAAUUGGCAAGUGUACUUUCUUGACCUUUCCAAAAAUAGUCUGAGUCACGUUCACUUUCAGCCUCCAAACUGUGUUGAAUGAAACCUUUGUGCAGUUUACAGAAAGUGAAGAACUGUUUGGCAAGAGAGAGAAGUUCGAGCUCCUAAUAGCCUCGGCUGCAUUGGGGGUGGAGCUGAAUAACGGUGAGCGGAACUCACAGCAGCAGAGCCUGAGAGGCCAUCUAGCCCUUAUAGAUUAGCUGAGCAGUGAUCAAACAGCUCCAUGGGACGAGGAGGAGCCGGGCUCACCUCAUGGAGUAAGGCCGAGACCCCAAUGGCCCUGGAGGUGAUGUGGUGGCAGCUGGGGCAGAAGCAGCUGGAGACCUCCACAAACAAGGGGUGCAGGUCCCUGGAGUCAGGAGAGUCUGAGUGUAUCUGACUAUGGAAAUGAUGUUAGACAAAAAGCAAAUUCGAGUGAUUUUCUUAUCUGAGUCCAAAAUGGGUCAUAAAGCAGCAGAGACAACUCACAACAUCAACAACACAUUUGGCUCAGGAGCUGCUAAUGAAUGUACAGUGCAGUAGUGGUUCAAAAAGUUUUGCAAAGGAGAUGAGAGUCUUGAAGAUGAGGAGCAUAGUGGCCAGUCAGUGGACGUUGACUAUGGCCAAUUGAGAGCAACCAUCAAAGCUGAUCCUCCUACAGCUACAUGAGAAGUUGCCGAAGAACUCAACAUCAACCAUCCUACCGUUGCUCAGCAUUAGCAGCAAAUUGGAAGCGACAAAGCUCGAUAAGCGAAAAUUUAAAAAAAAUCAUUGUUUUAAAGUGUUGUCUCCUCUUAUUCUAUGCAACAAUGAACCAUUUUUUGAUUGGAUUGUGACAUGCAAUGAAAAAUGGAUUUUACACAAUGACCAGCAAUGACCAGCUCUGUGGUUGGACCAAGAAGAAGUUCCAAAGCACUUCCCAAAGCCAAACUUGUACCCAAAAAAGGUCAUGGUCACGGUUUGGUGGUAGGCUGCCAGUCUGAUCCACUCCAGCUUUCUGAAUCCUGGUGAAGCCAUUAGAUCUGGGAAGUCUGCUCAGCAAGUUGAUGAGAUGCACCAAAAACUGUAACAUCUGCAGCUGGCAUUGGUCAACAGAAAGAGCCCAAUUCUCCAUGGCAAUGCCUGACCACACAUUGCACAACCAACCCUUCAAAAGUUGAACAAAUUGGGCUACAAAGUUUUGCUUCAUCUGCCAUAUUUACCUGACCUCUUACCAACUGAACUACCACUUCUUCAAGCAUCUUAACAACUUUUUUGCAGGGAAAAUGCUUCCACAACCGGCAGGAUGCAGAAAAUGCUUUCCAAGAGCUCUUUGAAUCCCAAAGCACAGAUUUGUAUGCUACAGGAAUGAACAAACUUAUUUCUCAUUGGCAAAAAUGUGUUGAUUGUAAUGGAUCCUCUUCUGAUUAAUAAAGAUUUGUUUGAGCCUA
Cercocebus atys (sooty mangabey) is the source of this 2953-nucleotide long non-coding RNA. RefSeq lists it as uncharacterized. Lineage: Eukaryota; Metazoa; Chordata; Mammalia; Primates; Cercopithecidae. The transcript is spliced from 4 exons. The record is from RefSeq and is a predicted model, not a curated record.